RNAcentral lists this transfer RNA (73 nucleotides) under Danio rerio (zebrafish). It matches the Rfam family "tRNA". Rfam says of the family: Transfer RNA (tRNA) molecules are approximately 80 nucleotides in length. Their secondary structure includes four short double-helical elements and three loops (D, anti-codon, and T loops). The record is from Rfam by way of RNAcentral. Lineage: Eukaryota; Metazoa; Chordata; Actinopteri; Cypriniformes; Danionidae.
GUUUCUGUAGUGUAGUGGUCACCACGUUUGCUUAGCAUGCGAAAGGUCCUUGGUUCGAAACUGAGCAGAAACA